UUGCUAACCGCCCAAAUGGUGGUCCACCAAUCCCUUCGGGGUGCGGGGAUUACCGGCUGCGCGGGACCCAGGUGGGUAGUAGUCAAGCGAUGGGGUGACGCAGGAAGGUAGCCGUACCAGUCAGUGGUAAUACUGGGGUAAGCCUGUAGGGAGUCAGAUAGGUAAAUCCGUCUGGCAUAUAUCCUGAGAGGUGAUGCAUAGCCGAUUGAGGCGAAUUCGGUGAUCCUAUGCUGUCGAGAAAAGCCUCUAGCGAGCGCACACACGGCCCGUACCCCAAACCAACACAGGUGGUCAGGUAGAGAAUACCGAGGCGUACGAGUGAACUAUGGUUAAGGAACUCGGCAAAAUGCCCCCGUAACUUCGGGAGAAGGGGGACCCACACACCGUCAACACCCUCGCGGUGGGUAGCGGUAGUGGGUGGCACAAACCAGUGAGAAGCGACUGUUUACUAAAAACACAGGUCCGUGCGAAGUCGCAAGACGAUGUAUACGGACUGACGCCUGCCCGGUGCUGGAAGGUUAAGAGGACCCGUUAACCCUUCGGGGUGAAGCGGAGAAUUUAAGCCCCAGUAAACGGCGGUGGUAACUAUAACCAUCCUAAGGUAGCGAAAUUCCUUGUCGGGUAAGUUCCGACCUGCACGAAUGGCGUAACGACUUCUCAACUGUCUCAACCAUAGACUCGGCGAAAUUGCAUUACGAGUAAAGAUGCUCGUUACGCGCGGCAGGACGAAAAGACCCCGGGACCUUCACUACAACUUGGUAUUGGUGCUCGAUACGGUUUGUGUAGGAUAGGUGGGAGACUGUGAAGCUCACACGCCAGUGUGGGUGGAGUCGUUGUUGAAAUACCACUCUGAUCGUAUUGGGCCUCUAACCUCGAACCGUAUAUCCGGUUCAGGGACAGUGCCUGGUGGGUAGUUUAACUGGGGCGGUUGCCUCCUAAAAUGUAACGGAGGCGCCCAAAGGUUCCCUCAACCUGGACGGCAAUCAGGUGUUGAGUGUAAGUGCACAAGGGAGCUUGACUGCGAGACGGACAUGUCGAGCAGGGACGAAAGUCGGGACUAGUGAUCCGGCACCUCUGAGUGGAAGGGGUGUCGCUCAACGGAUAAAAGGUACCCCGGGGAUAACAGGCUGAUCUUCCCCAAGAGUCCAUAUCGACGGGAUGGUUUGGCACCUCGAUGUCGGCUCGUCGCAUCCUGGGGCUGGAGCAGGUCCCAAGGGUUGGGCUGUUCGCCCAUUAAAGCGGCACGCGAGCUGGGUUUAGAACGUCGUGAGACAGUUCGGUCUCUAUCCGCCGCGCGCGUCAGAAGCUUGAGGAAACCUGUCCCUAGUACGAGAGGACCGGGACGGACGAACCUCUGGUCUACCAGUUGUCCCACCAGGGGCACUGCUGGAUAGCUACGUUCGGACAGGAUAACCGCUGAAAGCAUCUAAGCGGGAAACCUUCUCCAAGACCAGGCUUCUCACCCAUUAAGUGGGAUAAGGCCCCCCGCAGACCACGGGAUCGAUAGACCAGACCUAGAAACCCAGCAAUGGGCGCAGGGAACUGGCACUAACCGGCCGAAAACUUACAACAACA
RNAcentral lists this ribosomal RNA (1575 nucleotides) under Mycolicibacterium austroafricanum. RNAcentral's name for it is "bacterial LSU rRNA". It matches the Rfam family "Bacterial large subunit ribosomal RNA", at positions 1419 to 2925 of the family's 2925-position model. Lineage: Bacteria; Bacillati; Actinomycetota; Actinomycetes; Mycobacteriales; Mycobacteriaceae. The record is from RNAcentral.